RNAcentral lists this ribosomal RNA (1752 nucleotides) under Triticum aestivum (bread wheat). Its description in RNAcentral is "partial small subunit ribosomal RNA". Lineage: Eukaryota; Viridiplantae; Streptophyta; Magnoliopsida; Poales; Poaceae. The record is from RNAcentral.
AUGUCCAUGGUUAUCUCCUCCGUUCUCCCAGCUCCUUGCUCUCUCCUCAUGGCAACCUUGAUGCUGCUCAUCGUCCAGGCGCAAAGCUUCACCAGGCACUACAAUUUCAAUGUGCAAAUGGCGAACGUGACGAGGCUGUGCGCCACCAAGAGCAUCGUGACGGUGAACGGGGAGUACCCCGGCCCGGCGCUCGUGGCGAGGGAAGGCGACCGCGUCGCCGUCCGCGUCACCAACCACGUCGCGCACAACAUGACGCUGCACUGGCACGGCGUCCGGCAGCUGCGGAACGGCUGGGCCGACGGGCCGGCGUACGUCACCCAGUGCCCGAUCCGGACGGGCCAGACCUACGUCUACAACUUCACCGUCCUCGGGCAGCGUGGCACGCUGUGGUGGCACGCGCACAUCUCCUGGCUACGCGCCACCGUCUAUGGCGCCAUUGUCAUCCUCCCCAAGCACGGCGUGCCUUACCCGUUCGCCGCGCCGCACAUGGAGGUUCCGGUCAUCUUCGGUGAAUGGUGGAAGGCGGACACGGAGGCGGUGGUCAGCCAGGCGCUCCAGACGGGCGGAUCCCCGAAUGUCUCCGACGCUUUUACAAUAAAUGGGCUCCCUGGGCCGCUCUACAACUGCUCUGCCCAAGACACAUUCAGACUGAAGGUGGAACCCGGGAAAACGUACAUGCUGCGCCUCAUCAAUGCCGCGCUCGAUGACGAACUCUUCUUCUCCGUCGCCAAUCACACGCUCACCAUCGUCGAGGUCGAUGCCGUUUAUGUCAAGCCCUUCACAGUCAAGACUCUGAUCAUCUCACCGGGCCAGACCACCAAUGUACUCCUCACCACCAAGCCCUUGUACCCCAAGGCCAACUUCUACAUGUUGGCCGCCUUCUACCUAGGGUACCAAAAUCCUAGGGACCCCCUAAGGCCUAGCACCAUCAACAACACCACCGUUGCCGGCAUUCUCGAGUACCAAAAUCCGGGUUCCCCCAUAGCGCCAACCUCUGACAAAGACUUGCCACUGUUCAAGCCAACGCUCCCGCGGUUCAACGACACCGGCUUCGUCGCCAACUUCGCCUCCAAGCUCCGCAGCCUUGCCACGCGGGUCGUGCCGCGGUCGGUUGACAAGAAGUUCUUCUUCACGGUCGGCAUGGGCACGUUCCCGUGCCCCAUGGACGCGACGUGCCAAGGGCCCGUUAACGGGACGCGGUUCGCGGCGGCCGUGAACAACGUCUCCUUCGUACUCCCUUCCAUGGCGCUCCUUCAGUCGCACUUCACCGGCAUGUCGCGGGGCGUCUACGGGUCCGACUUUCCGGCCAUGCCCCCGUUUCAGUUCAACUACACCGGGGCACCGCCGGACAACAUGAACGUCGGCAAGGGGACCAAGGUUGCGGUGCUGCCAUUCAACGCGUCGGUGGAGCUGGUGAUGCAGGACACGAGCAUCCUCGGCAUCAUCAGCCACCCCAUGCACCUGCACGGCUUCAACUUCUUUGUGGUCGGGCAAGGAUUCGGCAACUACGACCCCGUGAACGAUCCAGCCAAGUUCAACCUCAUCGACCCGGUAGAGAGGAACACCGUAGUGGUGCCGGCCGGAGGGUGGGUGGCCAUUCGCUUCCUCGCCGACAAUCCAGGUGUAUGGUUCAUGCAUUGCCAUUUGGAGGUGCACGCCUCAUGGGGAAUGAGAAUGGCGUGGCUGGUGCUAGACGGGAGCCUUCCCAACCACAAGUUGAUGCCCCCACCCACUGACCUCCCCGAAUGCUAG